AAGAUAUUCACCUCCUUAUUUGGGAGAAGAAAAUAUUACUGUCUAUCAUACAUAUACAACUUUCUAUUCUCUUACUUUUCCCAUUCAUCAUUGUCUCCCUCGAUCAUAUAAAAGAAAGCAAGCAAUUAUGCAAAGAAAAAGCUAAUCAAACCCUAAUUACAUACUCGGCCAAGGUUUUCCGGGGUGACGGGAUUUGCAUUAAACACAAGUUUUAUGCAGCAAUUGGAUGCAUCAACCCAUGAUGAAUUCAAAUACUGUGCACUCUGUAACCAAUGUGAUGAUGAUCAAUGGAAGCACUUUGGACAUGGACAUACCCAUUUUGAAAAUAAUCCCCAACAUUAUUAUUUUCUGGAUUAGGGUUAGAACAGCUAGGAAUGCAAUUAUUCAACUUGGAAGAAGAAGGAUUUAGUGGCUUGUGUGUUCUUGGAUCAAUUCCUUGGCUUAUCAACUUCUUGCUGAGACCUGUUGCCGAGGAGUCGGUGGAGGCGGAGAAUGAGAUCUUCCUCGUCGGGGGCGAUCUGGCCUCGCUUAACACAAGGGCGAAGGUAGUUCAUCCACCGAAGGCGACAGCUCUUCCCGCAGCGGAGCAGACCCGCUCUCUUCGGAAGCGUGCGCCACCUUCCUUCGCCUUCUCGAUGUAUGUAAUUCGACAGAAGCUCGUCCUCCUCCGCCGUCCAUGGUCCCCUUUUCAACCCUAUCUUUACACAGCAUGGUGUCUUAGUUGUUGUUGUUCC
Molecule: long non-coding RNA, 734 nt
Organism: Tripterygium wilfordii
Lineage: Eukaryota; Viridiplantae; Streptophyta; Magnoliopsida; Celastrales; Celastraceae
Exons: 4
Source: RefSeq, a predicted model, not a curated record